RNAcentral lists this ribosomal RNA (450 nucleotides) under uncultured bacterium. Its description in RNAcentral is "partial 16S ribosomal RNA". It matches the Rfam family "Bacterial small subunit ribosomal RNA", at positions 354 to 796 of the family's 1533-position model. The record is from RNAcentral.
GUGGGGAAUCUUCCGCAAUGGACGAAAGUCUGACGGAGCAACGCCGCGUGAGUGAAGAAGGUUUUCGGAUCGUAAAGCUCUUUCGUUAGGGACGAACGUGCUCUUUGUGAAUAAUGAGGAGUAAUGACGGUACCUAAAUAAGAAGCCACGGCUAACUACGUGCCAGCAGCCGCGGUAAUACGUAGGUGGUAAGCGUUGUCCGGAAUUAUUGGGCGUAAAGCGCGCGCAGGCGGGAUAGCAAGUCUGUCUUAAAAGUGCGAGGCUCAACCUCGUGAGGGGACGGAAACUGGUAUUCUUGAGUGUCGGAGAGGAAAGUGGAAUUCCAAGUGUAGCGGUGAAAUGCGUAGAGAUUUGGAAGAACACCAGUGGCGAAGGCGACUUUCUGGACGAUGUCUGACGCUGAGGCGCGAAAGCUAGGUGAGCGAACGGGAUUAGAUACCCCUGUAGUCC